GGGAUUAGGACUGGUAUUGUAGCUGGCAUGAUUGCAUUGACGGAAGCUGUUGCAAUCGGAAGAACAUUUGCUUCAAUGAAGGACUACCAGUUGGACGGAAACAAAGAGAUGGUGGCUCUUGGAGCUAUGAACAUCGUUGGCUCGAUGACAUCCUGUUAUGUAGCUACAGGUUCCUUUUCUCGAUCAGCAGUAAACUACAUGGCUGGCUGCCAGACCGCAUUUUCCAACAUUGUCAUGUCUGUUGUCGUGUUCCUAACUUUGGAG
This 264-nucleotide unclassified non-coding RNA is filed under the name Hevea brasiliensis (rubber tree). The record is from RNAcentral. Lineage: Eukaryota; Viridiplantae; Streptophyta; Magnoliopsida; Malpighiales; Euphorbiaceae.